CAUCUCUAAGCAGAUCAAUAUCGUAGUUUGAGGAAUAAUCAUUUUAUUGGAGAGGAAAGGAAUUCACUUCUGGAAAUGGAUAGUUUGUCAUAUUUGUCGAAUCGAGAGAGAUCAGCUGGCUCCAAGUAUGAUCUGAAAGCUAUCUGGGAGAAGAGAAUUGAAAAGCAGACGGAGUGGAUGGAGCAGGAAAAGAUCAGGUUGAACAAGAGUGCCCUUAGUAGACUCAUCAAAGAAUGGAACCAAAGGCUUGAAAGCAAAAAAAAGCUGAUGCAAAGCUAUCAUGAAGAUGACAAAAAGAAACCUGUCGUACCAAUUGAAAGUCCUGUUCAGCAAGUACCGUCCAGUGCUUAAUUAUUGAAGAUGCACUAAGGCCAAUUUUAGACAGUGAAAUGCUGACAUUAUUUAAAGGACUCAAAUAAUAAAAUUAGUUAGACAUAACUAUCCCCUGUCUACAUGUGUAGGGUAGGACACCAUGGCUUCUUGAAUUCAUAAUUAUGCAUGGUAUUACUAUUUGAAAAAAAAACUUAUCAAACUCACUUGUUCUAAUAAUAUGUUC
Long non-coding RNA from Hemiscyllium ocellatum (epaulette shark), 556 nucleotides. RefSeq lists it as uncharacterized. The transcript has 3 exons. Lineage: Eukaryota; Metazoa; Chordata; Chondrichthyes; Orectolobiformes; Hemiscylliidae. The record is from RefSeq and is a predicted model, not a curated record.